Molecule: ribosomal RNA, 541 nt
Filed under: Bactrocera bancroftii
Lineage: Eukaryota; Metazoa; Arthropoda; Insecta; Diptera; Tephritidae
Description: partial 16S ribosomal RNA
Rfam family: Bacterial large subunit ribosomal RNA
Source: RNAcentral
UUAACAAAAACAUGUCUUUUUGAGUUAUUUUUAAAGUCUGACCUGCCCACUGAAAUUAUUUAAAUGGCCGCAGUAUUCUAACUGUGCAAAGGUAGCAUAAUCAUUAGUCUUUUAAUUGAAGGCUGGUAUGAACGGUUGGACGAGGUAUAAGCUGUUUCAUAUAAAUUUAUAAUAGAAUUUUAUAUUUUAGUCAAAAAGCUAAAAUUUAAUUAAAAGACGAGAAGACCCUAUAAAUCUUUAUACUUUACGUUGUUUAAAUUUUCUGGAUUUUUUUUAUUUUUAUAAUUUAAAGUAUUUUGUUGGGGUGAUAUUAAAAUUUAAUGAACUUUUAAUUAUUUAAAAUCAUUAAUUUAUGAGUUAUUGAUCCAUUAAUAGUGAUUAUAAGACUAAGUUACUUUAGGGAUAACAGCGUAAUUUUUUUGGAGAGUUCAUAUCGAUAAAAAAGUUUGCGACCUCGAUGUUGGAUUAAGAUAUAUUUUUAGGUGUAGCCGCUUAAAUAUUAAGUCUGUUCGACUUUUAAAUUCUUACGUGAUCUGAGUUC